GACAGCUUGACCAGCAAGUAUAUGGUUGAAGUGAUUCUAUGCUAGUUUCUGGAGCCAGGGUUUAAAUACUGGUGGAUUCCAUUUCCUGUGUUUUGUGAUUGCCCCUGGGAUCCAGCCACUGUGCUGUAAGAGGAAACCCACGCAGCAGCCCGUGGAGAGGCCCAUAUAAGAGAAACCCAAGCUCUCAGCCGUCAAUUGGCAUUAAUUUGCUGGUGCAGGAGCAAGUUACUUUGGAAGUAGAUCUUGUGGUCCACAAACAUGCUCUGUGGAGAAGCAAAGAACUGAUCUCACUGAGUCCUGCUCAAAUUGCGUCUACUGAAAGCUACCAACACUCUUAUAUUCAUGACCGGAUUCCUGAAUCUACAAAGUCAGCGAUAUCAGACUGAGAGUUCAUCCAUCCUGCUAUAUUUCUGCAAAAGUUGAAGUUAAUGAGAAUCCUGACCAAGACCGGGACCGUAAGUAAUGAAACUACUUGAUAAAUAAAGUGUGAAGAAACUUAUUUAAGGAUAUGAAUGUUGACGAUCUUACACAGCACCAUCACGUUUCUUGGAGAAGAGAAAUGUAAAGAAAUGUAACCUGUAACAGCACAAGGACAUUUGAAUUCUGUUUAUAUUGUUUUGUGUAUAAUAUUAUGAUUUUUCAGCUCUAAUUAGGAAACAAAUAUUGUUUUGAUGGCUCAGUUUUCUGCAAAGUGUGUUAUUAUUUUAAAGAUUAGAUUAAACAUUCUUACGUAAUUCCCAAGCCAUUUGUAUUUUUUAUUCUUGUGCUACUCACAGUAGAUCCAUUAGGUUGGAAAGUUUGUCGUGAUUGUUCGUCAGUGUCUUAUGUCACUCACAAGCCAGGUGGCAAACCAGUGAUAAGUGGGAAAUAGCACUUAGACAUACCUACCUUCUAGGUUCUAGAUCCUCUCAAUAAGUCAUGCGAUUUUGUAAAAGGAACUGUAAGAUCAUGUGUAUCACAUCCUCUCGUGUGUUUUGCAUGUGUAUAUUUUUGUGGUUAUUACUUUCUUUGCUCAGAUUCUAUUCAUAUCUGAAGUCAGAAGAAACAAUGACUUAAAACUAAUAAAAAC
Long non-coding RNA from Felis catus (domestic cat), 1069 nucleotides. RefSeq lists it as uncharacterized. The record is from RefSeq and is a predicted model, not a curated record. NCBI's taxonomy places the organism in Eukaryota, Metazoa, Chordata, Mammalia, Carnivora, Felidae. The transcript has 4 exons.